UUAGAGGCCAAUUUACAAAGGAUCUACUGAACAAAAUUGAGGCUUCGUGUUUCGGCUAUUUGGUUGAUGUGAAUCGCUGACUGAUUCGGGAAACUCACCCAUUACACUAUCCUUAGGGCUAUUAAGGAUAUAGUGAGUGAUGAUUCCAUCUCCUUCCAUUUUGGGGAACAUGUUGCGACUUUCAAGAGCUGGGAAUUCUGUUUAGUGAUGGGACUCAGUUUCGGAGAAUUCCCCCUUAAAGAGAAUGAUGAUGAAUGUCAUCUUAGAGACAUCGAUUUCAGGAGAAAGAAGAAGAUAACCUUGAAACAAUUGGAGGAGCAAUUCAACAUGUGCCAACAUCUAGAAGAUAGGUACAAGUUCGGUCUAAUGUACUUCACCCACUUUGUUGUUUUGGGCAAGGAGAAAGAGUCAACCAUUG
Molecule: long non-coding RNA, 418 nt
Filed under: Malus domestica (apple)
Lineage: Eukaryota; Viridiplantae; Streptophyta; Magnoliopsida; Rosales; Rosaceae
Description: long non-coding RNA (MDOM_LNC016381)
Source: RNAcentral